CUUCACAGCAAGUGGGCUUGGGCCCAACUCUGAAUCCAGCCAUGCAAACACAAUCCAGCCCGUGAAACCCUAGCAGGGCUACCAAGAAAAUACUACUGAGACAUCAAGACGUGAAUGGAGAAUGUUUGGGAGCCUCUGGAUUAAACUGUCCUUGCUUUUGUCUGGGACACGGGUUCGAGCCCUGAUCUGGGAAGAUCCCACAUGCCGCGGAGCAACUGGGCCC
Long non-coding RNA from Eubalaena glacialis (North Atlantic right whale), 223 nucleotides. RefSeq lists it as uncharacterized. The transcript is spliced from 3 exons. Lineage: Eukaryota; Metazoa; Chordata; Mammalia; Artiodactyla; Balaenidae. The record is from RefSeq and is a predicted model, not a curated record.